CCCUUAGAUGUUCUGGGCCGCACGCGCGCUACACUGAUGCAUUCAACGAGUCUAAAACCUGCUCUGAUAGGGGUGGGUAAUCUUUUGAAUGUGCAUCGUGAUUGGGAUAGAUGAUUGAAAUUUUUCAUCUUCAACGAGGAAUGCCUAGUAAACGCAAGUCAUCAGCUUGCAUUGAUUACGUCCCUGCCCUUUGUACACACCGCCCGUCGCUCCUACCGAUUGGAUGGUCCGGUGAAGCCUCGGGAUUGUGGUUCUUGCCGCUUUAUUGUGGCGUGACCGCGAGAACUUGUCUAAACCUUAUCAUCUAGAGGAAGGUGAAGUCGUAACA
RNAcentral lists this ribosomal RNA (328 nucleotides) under uncultured eukaryote. RNAcentral describes it as "partial 18S ribosomal RNA". It matches the Rfam family "Eukaryotic small subunit ribosomal RNA", at positions 1470 to 1796 of the family's 1831-position model. The record is from RNAcentral.